UUUACUAUCUUACUUCAGAGAAGACCCAGGACUCAUUCAUCAUUCAGUGGGCAGGAGAGAUGUAGAAGGAUUUCCCCAAGUGUAUUCUGAACAUAAAGUUAAGGAAGCAAGGAGUGAUGUUCAUAUUUUGACCAAAGGAGAAGAUACACUAAAAUUGGCUGAUCCUUCACAUGCGUGAUCCCUUGAGCCUGUAGCAUUCAUUCCAAUUCUCCUGCAAUGAACCAUGAAUUUCUCCUCUAUUAAAACUGAAGAAGAGAUGUGCCAGUGAAUGAUGCCUGUAACUAAAACUAGAUGGCUCGCAGGACUUGAAAUGAACUGCUACCCACCAAACACCCACAGCCUCCUGAACAUCUGCUCUGGGCUACUACUGUCUUUGUACGUCGGUCUUGGCCUGCUGGAUAGAGUGGUCUCUUUACCACCCUCUCUCUUCUGCACGGAGAAGGCACGUUGAGUGGGAGUCUGUCACCCUGUGCUCACUUAAUGAGUACGCAUCAAAGGCCCACUGUGCUCAAUGGAACAAAUCCCAAGAUGCUAUAAGUGAGGGAAACCAGGGAAUGGAAUUAAUGGUUCUCGCCCUCACAGGGUAAUUAUAGUUUUUCCCAUGACUCAUGGAUAAGACACUGAAGAUGAAUAGAAGGACAAAAA
This is a long non-coding RNA of Suricata suricatta (meerkat), 645 nucleotides long. RefSeq lists it as uncharacterized. NCBI's taxonomy places the organism in Eukaryota, Metazoa, Chordata, Mammalia, Carnivora, Herpestidae. The transcript has 4 exons. The record is from RefSeq and is a predicted model, not a curated record.